GAACAGUGAAGAGAGACAGUAGCUCCUUCCUCUGAAGAUUCUGUUCAGAAUGGAUAAAGGUUCAGCAUCCUCCUUGGAUGGGCCAGCUUAGCAGCACUAAGAACAGUGCCCUAUACAGAGUUGGUAUUCGGUACUUGUUGAAUGAAUGUGUGAGCAAAUGAAACCAGAGGAACACAGCAUACACACCACUCAUAGGAAGCCCUGCACUAGCAAAUUACGAGCUUGUCUCCAAGGUCAUCUCAAGAUGGCAAGAGAGAGGGACAGAAACAGAGGGGAACAGAGAACUGACUGGCUGUGAAUACAGACCCAGAGAAAAGCACUGGGAGGAAUGAGAAAGUAGCAACUAGACAAAAAUGAAAACUCUUUAAGAAGCAUUGCUGAAGUUACAGG
Molecule: long non-coding RNA, 390 nt
Organism: Symphalangus syndactylus (siamang)
Lineage: Eukaryota; Metazoa; Chordata; Mammalia; Primates; Hylobatidae
Source: RefSeq, a predicted model, not a curated record